RNAcentral lists this ribosomal RNA (253 nucleotides) under uncultured bacterium. RNAcentral describes it as "partial 16S ribosomal RNA". It matches the Rfam family "Bacterial small subunit ribosomal RNA", at positions 524 to 776 of the family's 1533-position model. The record is from RNAcentral.
UACGAAGGGGGCUAGCGUUGUUCGGAUUUACUGGGCGCAAAGCGCACGUAGGCGGAUCGUUAAGUCGGGGGUGAAAUCCUGGAGCUCAACUCCAGAACUGCCUUCGAUACUGGCGAUCUCGAGUCCGGAAGAGGUGAGUGGAACUCCUAGUGUAGAGGUGGAAUUCGUAGAUAUUAGGAAGAACACCAGUGGCGAAGGCGACUCACUGGUCCGGUACUGACGCUGAGGUGCGAAAGCGUGGGGAGCAAACAGG